GUAGACAUAGUUUAACUAAAACACCAGAUUGUGAUUCUGGGAACAGAGGUUAAAAUCCUCUUGUCCACC
Molecule: transfer RNA, 69 nt
Filed under: Stephanolepis cirrhifer (thread-sail filefish)
Lineage: Eukaryota; Metazoa; Chordata; Actinopteri; Tetraodontiformes; Monacanthidae
Description: tRNA-His
Rfam family: tRNA
About the family: Transfer RNA (tRNA) molecules are approximately 80 nucleotides in length.
Source: RNAcentral